Molecule: non-coding RNA, 455 nt
Organism: Lolium perenne
Lineage: Eukaryota; Viridiplantae; Streptophyta; Magnoliopsida; Poales; Poaceae
Source: RefSeq, a predicted model, not a curated record
CAGACGUGCUUGGCGCUGGUAGCGUCGGCUUGCCUCCGGGUGCUUAGGUAAAGCCGUUCUGGCUCUGGUGGUGCAUCAGGGGAGCGGAUGGCCGUCCUGGUGUUGAGGAGGCCUCGCUGGGGGGUUUGCGUUUGCGACGUUGGUGGUCGGGUGGCGCUGCUGGCUGCUGUUUGGAAGAUUGGAACGGCCACGGCAUAUUGUUUGCGACCUUGGUGGUCGGGGGAUUCAUUUGCGUGUUCAUUUUGUUUGCUGACUUGCAUGGGUGGGUAGUCUUGGCCUGAAUGUACUAGAAAAUCUGGGAAGGCCAUGUGGAAAAUUGGAAUGAAUGGGCCUGUGUUGUUGUCUGGUUUUCGUGUGAAAUAAAACUGAUCUGCCCGUGUGAGUGUUCCUGGUCAGAUGUGAUUGACUACUAGCUAGAUUCCUGUGAACUAAUAAAGAUCUGCUGUUCCCGUGUA